Molecule: ribosomal RNA, 433 nt
Filed under: uncultured bacterium
Lineage: Bacteria
Description: partial 16S ribosomal RNA
Rfam family: Bacterial small subunit ribosomal RNA
Source: RNAcentral
AACGAACGCUGGCGGCAGGCUUAACACAUGCAAGUCGAGCGAGACCUUCGGGUCUAGCGGCGGACGGGUGAGUAACGCGUGGGAACGUGCCCUUCUCUACGGAAUAGCCCCGGGAAACUGGGAGUAAUACCGGAUAAGCCCUUCGGGGGAAAGAUUUAUCGGAGAAGGAUCGGCCCGCGUUGGAUUAGGUAGUUGGUGGGGUAAUGGCCCACCAAGCCGACGAUCCAUAGCUGGUUUGAGAGGAUGAUCAGCCACACUGGGACUGAGACACGGCCCAGACUCCUACGGGAGGCAGCAGUGGGGAAUCUUAGACAAUGGGGGCAACCCUGAUCUAGCCAUGCCGCGUGAGUGAUGAAGGCCUUAGGGUUGUAAAGCUCUUUCAGCUGGGAAGAUAAUGACGGUACCAGCAGAAGAAGCCCCGGCUAACUCCGUG